RNAcentral lists this ribosomal RNA (427 nucleotides) under uncultured bacterium. RNAcentral's name for it is "partial 16S ribosomal RNA". It matches the Rfam family "Bacterial small subunit ribosomal RNA", at positions 355 to 774 of the family's 1533-position model. The record is from RNAcentral.
UGGGGAAUAUUGCACAAUGGGCGCAAGCCUGAUGCAGCCAUGCCGCGUGUAUGAAGAAGGCCUUCGGGUUGUAAAGUACUUUCAGCGGGGAGGAAGGCGAUAAGGUUAAUAACCUUGUCGAUUGACGUUACCCGCAGAAGAAGCACCGGCUAACUCCGUGCCAGCAGCCGCGGUAAUACGGAGGGUGCAAGCGUUAAUCGGAAUUACCGGGCGUAAAGCGCACGCAGGCGGUCUGUCAAGUCGGAUGUGAAAUCCCCGGGCUCAACCUGGGAACUGCAUUCGAAACUGGCAGGCUAGAGUCUUGUAGAGGGGGGUAGAAUUCCAGGUGUAGCGGUGAAAUGCGUAGAGAUCUGGAGGAAUACCGGUGGCGAAGGCGGCCCCCUGGACAAAGACUGACGCUCAGGUGCGAAAGCGUGGGGAGCAAACA